Molecule: ribosomal RNA, 465 nt
Filed under: uncultured bacterium
Lineage: Bacteria
Description: partial 16S ribosomal RNA
Rfam family: Bacterial small subunit ribosomal RNA
Source: RNAcentral
GACGAACGCUGGCGGCGUGCUUAACACAUGCAAGUCGAACGGAAAGGCCCCUUUGGGGGUCCUCGAGUGGCGCACGGGUGAGUAACACGUGAGUAACCUGCCCUUGACUUCGGGAUAACUUCAGGAAACUGGGGCUAAUACCGGAUAGGAAUCCUUGCUGCAUGGUGGGGGUUGGAAAGCUUCGGCGGUUUUGGAUGGACUCGCGGCUUAUCAGCUUGUUGGUGGGGUAGUGGCUUACCAAGGCUUUGACGGGUAGCCGGCCUGAGAGGGCGACCGGCCACAGUGGGACUGAGAUACGGCCCAGACUCCUACGGGAGGCAGCAGUGGGGAAUAUUGCACAAUGGGCGGAAGCCUGAUGCAGCAACGCCGCGGGCGGGAUGACGGCCUUCGGGUUGUAAACCGCUUUCAGCAGGGGCGAAGCUUGUGGUGACGGUACCUGCAGAAGAAGCACCGGCUAACUACGUG